GGGCCCGCACAAGCAGUGGAGCAUGGGGUUUAAUUCGAUGCAACGCGAAAAACCUUACCUACCCUUGACAUCCUUGGAAUUCUCUGGAGACAGAGAAGUGCCUUCGGGAGCCAAGUGACAGGUGCUGCAUGGCUGUCGUCAGCUCGUGUCGUGAGAUGUUGGGUUAAGUCCCGCAACGAGCGCAACCCUUAUCCUUAGUUGCCAGCACAUAAUGGUGGGGACUCUAAGGAAACUGCCGGUAAUAAGCCGGAGGAAGGUGAGGACGACGUCAAGUCAUCAUGGUCCUUAUGGGUAGGGCUACACCCGUGCUACAAUGGUCGAUACAAUAGGUUGCCACUCCGCGAGGAGGCGCUAAUCCUCAAAGUCGAUCUCAGUCCGGAUUGAAUUCUGCAACUCGAAUUCAUGAAGUCGGAAUUGCUAG
This 421-nucleotide ribosomal RNA is filed under the name uncultured bacterium. RNAcentral describes it as "bacterial SSU rRNA". It matches the Rfam family "Bacterial small subunit ribosomal RNA", at positions 917 to 1338 of the family's 1533-position model. The record is from RNAcentral.